Long non-coding RNA from Melanotaenia boesemani (Boeseman's rainbowfish), 436 nucleotides. RefSeq lists it as uncharacterized. The record is from RefSeq and is a predicted model, not a curated record. NCBI's taxonomy places the organism in Eukaryota, Metazoa, Chordata, Actinopteri, Atheriniformes, Melanotaeniidae. The transcript has 2 exons.
UUGGUUUGGACUCGGAACCCCAUUGACGACAGGCGGUGGUGACACAUACUGUGUCCUGUUGUAACUUGCAACUUCCCGGUUAGGUUUUUUUGUGGAUUGGAAAUACUCCACGACAGUGGAUUGGAUGGCGAGCUACCCAACAGCCCACACAUCAAUGUGGUAGGACUCAUAGAACUCAUUUUGGUUUGUGGAUUGAGUUGGAUUCACGUGGACUGUGAAAAACUCAACCUCAAGACAACUUGAGGAAACAGGAUUCUCUGGACUGUUUUUUGUUUGUUUGUUUGUUUGGUUCUUGUGGUUGUCGUUAUUAACUAUACCUGAUUAUUUAUAGCAAAUAUUAACAUAAUGAAUACAUAUAUAAAUGUAUAACAUGGGUUGUGUGUUUUUUUGUUCUGAAAUAUUCUAUAUAUCUAUAAAUAUACACAUUGCUUGGAUC